RNAcentral lists this transfer RNA (71 nucleotides) under Mantophryne lateralis (Victoria Archipelago frog). Its description in RNAcentral is "tRNA-Gln". It matches the Rfam family "tRNA". Rfam says of the family: Transfer RNA (tRNA) molecules are approximately 80 nucleotides in length. Lineage: Eukaryota; Metazoa; Chordata; Amphibia; Anura; Microhylidae. The record is from RNAcentral.
UAGGAAGUAGUAUAUUGGAAUUACGAAGGGUUUUGAUCCCUUAAAUACAGGUUCGACUCCUGUCUGUCUAA